This 73-nucleotide transfer RNA is filed under the name Saccoglossus kowalevskii. RNAcentral describes it as "tRNA-Thr". It matches the Rfam family "tRNA". From Rfam's summary of the family: Transfer RNA (tRNA) molecules are approximately 80 nucleotides in length. The record is from RNAcentral. Lineage: Eukaryota; Metazoa; Hemichordata; Enteropneusta; Harrimaniidae.
GCCUCCUUAGCUCAGUGGUUAGAGCACUGGUCUUGUAAACCAGGGUUCAUGAGUUUGAAUCUGAUAGGGGGCU